AUGGAGCGCACGCGAGGGCAUCGGCGGCGAAAGCUCUCCGUCGCCGCCGGCGUCGGCGUUGGAGGUGGCGAGGACCGCCUCAGCGCGCUGCCGGACGACGUCCUCCUCCACAUCCUCCUCAAGCUCCGCGACGGCCCCGUCGCCGCUCGGACCAGCGUCCUCGCCCGCCGCUGGCGCCGCGUCUGGGCUCUCCUCCCGGAGCUCCAUUUCCCCGUCGGCACUGACCCCGACCGCAUCCGCGCCGCCCUGACCGCCCAUGAUGCGCUGGCCCUCCACCACCUCUUCGUUGCCGGCAUUGAGGUCACCCCCGAAAUCGCUGCGGCAUGGCUCCCCCUCGCCGCGCGCGGCCUCUCUGGUGUCCUGCAUUUCAAGAACACGGGGGCCAUGAAUGAGGCCCCUGCGGGGGAAAGAGGUACCUUGAAGUUGCCUUGCUUCGAGAAAGCAACCAAGGUCGUGCUCGAUCUACAUUCUAUUGGCCUCACCCUGCCGCCUUCCGGCGUAUUUACCCGGCUCACCGAUCUGGAGCUGGUUCGCAUACAGCUGCACGGUCCGUGCAGCCUCAGUGACGUUGUCUCUUCAUCACGGUGUCCAUCUCUGCGUCGCCUUUCCGUUUGCAGUGUCAGGGGUCUGGACAACUUCACAAUCCAGUCGGAAUCUCUCGUACAAUUGGAACUGCGGAAUUUGCAUACCUUGCAGCAGCUCAAUAUCGUUGCCCUGUCUCUGCAAAAAUUAAAAGUAUUCCUUUGCUUCACCGAUCCUCUGAAUCAAGCUCAACCAGUUGCCAACAUCUCAGCUCCUCAGCUGGUGACACUUGAUUGGAGGGGUGCUUAUGAUCCUAGCUCUGUUUUGUUUGGCGAGAUGCCAAAUCUCCAACAACUGACCACCAAUCCUCUUUGUGUAUAUGGAGGAGAUACAGUUUCUGCACGCAAUCAUCACAGCUUGAUGCUUUCACAACAUUUUCACCAUAUCAGCAAACUUAUUCUCAUCCUUUUCUAUCUGCCGGUCCAUGGCAACGAACGAUUCUUGAUGGAAGAGAUGACAAAGUUGCCUAACAUUACCAUCUUGGGACUGGUUGUAUUGGCAUGUGGACAUUCCUUUGGAGCCAGCUCAUUCCAUGUUCUCAAGAUGUCUAGCGGUAUAAGAGAGCUCACGCUUCAACUUGUUACUCGGAGGGACUCUAAGGCAUUUGUGUGCCAACCAGGUUGCAUUUGUGCUGAGCCAUCAAAUUGGGAAACUGAGGACCUCGUGCUACCUUGCCUCAAAGAAGUAGCAAUCAAUGGCCUGAGAGGAACUGAACAUGAACUCGCUCUUGUGGAAAGGUUAUUCAAGUGGGCGACAAUGUUAGAAAGGGUGACAGUAAUUUUCCAUGACUCAAUCUCUGAAAGCAACGGCGAAGAGUUCCGCCAGUUGUUACUAAGCUUCUCUAGGCCAGCAAUAUGUAUGAAAUUCUCGCAUGGUGGAGGAAGUUUAUCAUUUGACUAG
This 1482-nucleotide ribosomal RNA is filed under the name Triticum aestivum (bread wheat). Its description in RNAcentral is "partial small subunit ribosomal RNA". Lineage: Eukaryota; Viridiplantae; Streptophyta; Magnoliopsida; Poales; Poaceae. The record is from RNAcentral.